AGCUCCAAUAGCGUAUCUUAAAGUUGCUGCAGUUAAAAAGCUCGUAGUUGGAUCUCAGUCUCGAUCGAGCGGUCCGUCUUCCGACGGUACUGCGCGAAUCGGACAUUCCGCCGCGUUUCUCCUCAUGCCCUUAAUUGAGUGUGAGGGGAGAGUGGUACGUUUACUUUGAAAAAAUUAGAGUGCUCAAAGCAGGCCAUGGCCUGAAUAGUCGUGCAUGGAAUGAUGGAAUAGGGCCUCGGUUCUAUUUUGUUGGUUUCCGGAACUCGAGUUUUCA
Molecule: ribosomal RNA, 274 nt
Filed under: uncultured eukaryote
Lineage: Eukaryota
Description: partial small subunit ribosomal RNA
Rfam family: Eukaryotic small subunit ribosomal RNA
Source: RNAcentral